CUGACUUUGGGAUAAGCCUGGGAAACUGGGUCUAAUACCGGAUAUGACCAUGGGAUAUGUUCUGUGGUGGAAAGCUUUUGCGGUUGGGGAUGGGCCCGCGGCCUAUCAGCUUGUGUGGGGUAAUGGCCUACCAAGGCGACGACGGGUAGCCGACCUGAGAGGGUGAUCGGCCACUGGGACUGAGACACGGCCCAGACUCCUACGGGAGGCAGCAGUGGGGAAUAUUGCACUGGGCGCAAGCCUGAUGCAGCGACGCCGCGUGAGGGAUGACGGCCUUCGGGUUGUAAAUCUUUCAGUAGGGACGAAGCUUCGGUGACGGUACCUGCAGAAGAAGCACCGGCCAACUGUGCCAGCAGCCGCGGUAAUACGUAGGGUGCGAGCGUUGUCCGGAAUUACUGGGCGUAGAGCUCGUAGGCGGUUUGUCGCGUCGUCUGUGAAAUUCUGCAACUCAAUUGCAGGCGUAGGCGAUACGGGCAGACUUGAGUACUACAGGGGAGACUGGAAUUCCUGGUGUAGCGGUAAUGCGCAGAUAUCAGGAGGAACACCGGUGGCGAAGGCGGGUCUCUGGGUAGUAACUGGCUGAGGAGCGAAAGCGUGGGUAGCGAACAGGAUUAGAUACCCUGGUAGUCCACGCCGAACGGUGGGUACUAGGUGUGGGUUCCAUUUCACGGGAUCCGUGCCGUAGCUAACGCAU
This 694-nucleotide ribosomal RNA is filed under the name uncultured bacterium. RNAcentral's name for it is "bacterial SSU rRNA". It matches the Rfam family "Bacterial small subunit ribosomal RNA", at positions 132 to 860 of the family's 1533-position model. The record is from RNAcentral.